This 472-nucleotide ribosomal RNA is filed under the name uncultured bacterium. Its description in RNAcentral is "bacterial SSU rRNA". It matches the Rfam family "Bacterial small subunit ribosomal RNA", at positions 328 to 793 of the family's 1533-position model. The record is from RNAcentral.
CUCUGUGACUCCUACGGGAGGCAGCAGUGGGGAAUAUUGCACAAUGGGGGAAACCCUGAUGCAGCCAUGCCGCGUGUGUGAAGAAGGCCUUCGGGUUGUAAAGCACUUUCAGUAGGGAGGAAGGUAGUGUAGUUAAUACCUGCAUUAUUUGACGUUACCUACAGAAGAAGCACCGGCUAACUCCGUGCCAGCAGCCGCGGUAAUACGGAGGGUGCGAGCGUUAAUCGGAAUUACUGGGCGUAAAGCGCAUGCAGGCGGCCUGUUAAGUCAGAUGUGAAAGCCCGGGGCUUAACCUCGGAAUUGCAUUUGAAACUGGCAGGCUAGAGUCUUGUAGAGGGGGUAGAAUUUCAGGUGUAGCGGUGAAAUGCGUAGAGAUCUGAAGGAAUACCAGUGGCGAAGGCGGCCCCCUGGACAAAGACUGACGCUCAGAUGCGAAAGCGUGGGGAGCAAACAGGAUUAGAUACCCUGGUAG